This 93-nucleotide transfer RNA is filed under the name Phytomonospora endophytica. Its description in RNAcentral is "tRNA-Pro". Lineage: Bacteria; Bacillati; Actinomycetota; Actinomycetes; Micromonosporales; Micromonosporaceae. The record is from RNAcentral.
CGCGGUCUCGGCGGCGGCGACGGCCGGGUCGGCCGGACCGACCGCCUCGCCUGCCGGGUCGGCCGGAUCGGUUCCGCAGCCGGUGAUCGCGGC